GCAUCUUGAUAUAUUUUACUUGAAUAUAAAUGGUCCUUACUUACAUAAAGCAUUUUAUUCUUCACAUCAUAUGCCUAUUAGCACAGAUGGUAUUUUAAUAAAUUGUAAAUUCUUUGCAUAAGCAAAGAAAUAGUUUUUGAAAAUAAUCCAUACUGAUCUAAAAUUAAAUAGUUAAUGCUGCUAUUGUAUAAAGUAGCAUGUGUAACAUCUGUAUAAUUUUGGAUUUUGUUAAAAAUAUGUUCAUUUCUAGUUGUGCACAUGGUUCUAUAUAAACUUUACUGAAAUUUUGAACUUUACUCACAGAGUGUUAAAUCCUUGCAUAAUCAAGUUCAUAUUAUUUAUCUGGUAAUAUAUUCUUUCAUUCUCAGCAAAAUCUUUUCUUGGUAAAGUUUGGCUCUGCUAAACUUUUUCUUUCACACUUGUUUUUUAAGAUAUAGAGAAAAACUGUAAUUUAAAGAACCUCUUUGAGUAUAAAUUUAACAAGUAAUAUUUAGUAGCUGGAAAAUGAAGAUUGAGCCAUUUGGGCUACUGUUUUAUACUGUCUUAAAGUUACAUUAGUUCAAACAUCUGUAGCACUGUUUAACUGAUAUUUUAAAAGUCCUAUUACUCUUAAUCUCAAAUGUAGCAUUAGUAUUCCUAAGUGAAUAGAAUUAGAACUCAUAAGUGUUCAUAAGGUUCUCAAGUACUGUGACAUGUUUAUUUUGUGACAUAAAGCUAUUACAUAGAUCCUGUAUUUCUGAUAGACAUACUAACAGACACCAAAGGUACAAUAAAUGUCUGUGCUCAUUGUUGUUUGGAUUUUACACAGUAAUGGUGAUUUUAAGCCCAAUCAGAAGCUGAUCCUUAGAAGCAGGUAUUUUUCUAAAGAAAGGGUGACUUAUUUUUCAGAAAAUUAUAGAACUAUACCAUAAAUAAUACAACUUCAACAUUUAGUAAAAAUAAAUGAUUUUAAAGGCCCAGACCCACAGUCUUUUAUGAAAGACAUUUUUUCAUGAGGAUCAGGCCACUAGUCGUAAAAACUAUGCAAAUGUUUUUUCCAUGACAGAACUUUCUUUUAAAUCAUGUCAACUUUUUAUUUUCUCAUUUCUGGUCCCUAUUGGAAGGUAUCUAUAUUGAAUGAUCCCUAACCUUACUUUUGAGAUGUGUACCAUAGAUGGUGCAUAUUUUAAGCUUAUCCCAAAAUAGAAGUUUAAAAGAACCCCCCAAAAAAACUGAAAAGGCAAGAAAAAUCUAUAGUUAGACUAUAAAUCAUGCUCGUCAGAGUGAGAAACUUUUAUCAACCUUACAAAAUUUUGAUUUUAAUAAAAUCCUUUAUUUCUAAAUAUUAAAAAAUAAAAAGUUUUAAAAUCGUGAAAUUCUUUUUUUAUGUUGGCAUCUCUCAUAUGAUGUUACUCAAUUUAGAUGUAACUAUUUUACACAUUAAAAUUUUAAAGGCAAACACAAUUCCCUAAAUUUUUUCAGAAAUGCUUGUGCUAUCUUAAUGAAAACAAGUAUUCCUGACUAAAAUUUUCUAACUGAAAAUAAUUGAAGAAACAUGUUUGAAAAUACCAGUUACUUUUUCAAGCCUAAAAGAACCAUUUGCUAUAGGCAGGAUAACUGAAGAUGACACUUCUGUUUUAUAAUUCUUUAUUUUACUGGGAAGUAAAAUUGUCAGAUGGGAAGACUUAAUAAAAUGACAUAUUUGGAGAUAAUUGUUUGUAGGUACAGCUGCAGCUUACAGUUAAUUAACAACUAUAUUUCCUAAAUGAGUAUAAUAAUUAUUUUCACCUGAAAAUAUAUUUCAAGUACUUUUUAUUUAUGCUUUUUUUUUUUGUCUCCUAUGGAGAAAAAAAUCAAUGCUUAUGGUGAAAACAUGCAAACAAUCAGCCAACCAGGAGCAUUUAAUAUGGCUAUUGUAAAUUAAAAUAAGUGUAUAAGGUAAUUUUUAAAAACCUUUCCUAGGGAUUAGAAUAAACUCAUCAUGCCUGAGUAGUUGUUUACCCUUGAAAGAUAAGGGAAAACCCAAAACUCAAAUUUCAUGCAUCACUUAAAAUGGUAGUUCAUAUUAUAAAAAUGUAAUCCACCAUUUUCAAUACAAUAUGAUAUACCCUCAUUCUGCACAGCCACACAUUUAUAUAAACAUAACUUAUCCUCUUUCUACUUGAAGAUGGACUGUUUUCAUUUCAGUAUUUAAAAUAAGAUUUGAGAUUAUCCUCCAUAAAUUUUUGUGGAACACCACAUUUUAAUGAUAGCACUGACACAUUAUGGUGUUGCAGCUUAGGUAUAUAAGAAUACCUAAUUUCAGGGACUUAUUCAAGGACUUGCCAAACAUAAAUCUAAGAAAAAGGAACAAGUGUUGAUUAGUUAACAUAACAACACUAAUGUUCUUUUGGGUUUUGCUUUUUAGUUUGUUUAUUCAUGCAUUUAUUUUACCUGAUUCAAUAAUCAGGGGAAUGAGAAAAUAGAAUGUGAAAAUGCAUUAAUAUUUGUGAAGUAUACAGUCUUCUCACAAAAAAUCUGAACAAUUGAUGCUAUUUUUACACUAGUUUCUUAAUAUUUUUCUGGUCAAUUAAAAAUUUUUAUCAGGCCAGCCCUGUUUCUGGCACUUUAUUUUACAUGUAAAACACAUGAUGUUAAUACAUUCACAGUUCAAUUAAAAAUAUCAUCAGGACUAGUGCCAGGGAACUAGAGAUGGAAGCACAGAACCAAGCGCCCACUUUCUUAUGCAGUUUCCGGGAGUGUGUGCAUGUUCUAGUUACUGCAGGGAGAUCACAGCUGAUCAAUAUUGACUCAGGUUUUAGGUAAAAGAAAAAUAUAUUUGAACCUAUUUGGUUCUAAUAUUUAAUUGACAAUUCCGUCUGUAUUAUCUUUUGUAAUAUUUAUUAUUUUAAAACUUUGCAAACUCAAGAAGUAUCAAUCUCUUAAGGCUUUCAUUUAAUGAUUAAUUGCUUCAGAAAUGAAAAAGCCAAACUUUCACUUCUUUCUCAACUUUUUUUAUUAUCCAUGAAACAAAAUAGAAAUUAUUUGAGAAUGAGUUUUCAAAAGAGCCAUAGACUAUUGCAAAUAAAGUAACACAAAAUCUUAACAUUGAACACAUGGUUAUUUCUUUAACUCUUUAAAAAGAAUACUUUCUAUUAUCUCAUAUAUUUUCAUGGAAUGGAGUUCCAUAUGAUUUUCUUUGCCACCCGAGUUGCAAUUAUGACCAAGUAUUUUAAUUAUCUGAUAAUAUUUUUAAAAGAAUGAAGAAAACUAGAGUUGAUCAGGAUUUAAGAAAAUCAUUCAUCCUCUACUAAAUCUGUUCUUGAAGCAGCUCCAGUUGUUUCGAUGUACUUUAAUUGAUUUAAACUUUUAGGGUUUAUAGGCUAAGAAUAUAUUGCUUGCCAUAAGGGAUUAUACAAAAGCAUGGAAAGUAAAAUAAUUUAAAUUAAGAAUCUACACAACUAAAUAGCAGUUAAACACAGAUGUUAAAGCAUAUGGAAAUAAAGACAUUGAAUACAAAAAUCAAAAACCACCUUUGUAUGUUCAAUUUUAGGGGAAAAUAACUCCUCUAACACUGUUCAAAAAAUCCCAUGACACAGAUUUUAAUAGUUAUUCAAUGACGUGGCUCAGGAUAUGAUUCAGCUAAACCUGUUAAGACCCAUUAUUUUAUUUUUUAUUUUAUUUUACUUUGCUUUUUAGGGCCGCACCUGCGGCAUAUGGAGGUUCCCAGGCUAGGGGUCUAAUCUGAGCUACAGCUGCCAGCCUGCGCCACAGCCACAGCAACGCCAGCUCCAAGCUGCAUCUGCGACCUACACCACAACUCACAGAAAGGCCAGAUCCUUAACCCACUGAGCAAGGCCAGGGAUCGAACCGGCAACCUCAUGGUUCCUAGUUGGAUUCGUUUCUGCUUCACCACCACGGGAACUACCAAGACCCCUUAUUUUAAAUAAAGUAGUGAGUUUAUAUUUUACAUGGGAAAGACAGCUAAUUAAACUAAAUGUUUCCAAUAUGUUAUUCAGUGAUACUCUUUAAGGUAAGAAUUUUCUAUUAAAAGACUUUUCCUAUAUUUGCUCAAUCUUAUGUUAAAGUAAAUAGCAGUUUGAUAAAAGAUGUAUUGGUAAUACUUGUCAUCUGUAAAUAACAGUUAAGUAAAAAGAGGUGUAUUUGAACAGUGGCAAUUAAUAAAUAUUCAGUUCAAGUGUUUUCUCAUCACAGUAAAAAACUUUUUAUUUCCACCCAGUACAUCAUGAAGACUGGUAACCAAAGUUUGACUUGAUUGUGUGAUAAUUUCACACUAUAGAGACUUUAAAAAGAAAGCACUAACUUAAGAGCUGAGGUGGGACUUAAGGAUUUAUUGAAUGCAAACAUUUUGGAUAUUAGAGAGGUGAUUGAAAAGAUAGGAUUCUUCAUGUUUAAAACAAUUUAAAUAUACUCCUAAAUGAGAAUUCAUUAGAAUAGAACUAUUUUUAUCUAUUCUGAAAUAUUGGAAAUGACUCGCUACUAAUGGAUCUAAAGUUACAUAUAGUAUUUGUAUGGAAAUGUUUUCAUCUCAAACUCACAAUAAAUUCUUCUAAGCUCAUCUGGGUCAUGAAUACCCUCUCCAAAGAGAAAACCAUGUCUGACUUUUGUCAUAAACGUGUAAAAAUAGGCCAUAUCUGCAGAAAUUUUGUUCUGAUUUGCACCUGCUAUGCACAGGACCUCCAUUUUCUGUACAGGGUGGUGGAUUUCAAUUAUUUGAUUUAUAUUUUCGUGUUUUUGUUUCCUCAAAAAUAAUUUAUUGAAUAACAAUACAUAUUAUAGAAAUGAGUCAAAAAUUGUUAAGAGGAGUUCUUAUGGCUCAGAGGUAAUGAACCCAGCUAGUAUCCAUGAGGAAGCAGGUUCAAUCCCUGGCCUCUCUCAGUGGUUAAUUAUUCAGCAUUGCUAUGAGCUCCAGUGUAGGUCACAGACGUAGCUCAGAUCCUGUGUUGCUGUGGCUGUGGUAUAGGCUGGCAGCUGUAAUUCUAACUCAACCCCUGGAAACCUCCGUAUGCCACAGGUGUGGCCCUGAAAAGCAAAAACGAAAAAAAGAAAAGAAAAGUUGGAUAAACCCCAAUGUUUGAAGAUUAAUGCUUUGGAUUUUUGUUUUUGUUAUCUUUUCAGAAUUUUUUGUUGUUGUUAUUUUCCCAAUCUGAACAUCAAUACAGGGAAUUAUGUUUGACUAUGGUUUUGCUGUAGGAUAAAUCGUGUGAACUAGAAAAACCUCUAUAAUCCCUAAGGCUCUGUACAAACUGGCCACAAAAUCACACUCUUUAAAAAUUGCAUGGCUUAUUACAUUUAUAUCCAUAUAUAUAGAGCUAGCCAUGUAUAGAUCAUUUUGUGGAUUUUAUUAUAUACUUUUGUUUUUUCAUUUAAAACUACAGUAAUCCUAGUGCAAAUAGCUUCAUAAAUUCUCUCACUGCAUAAGAAAGGAGCAGGUAGACCAACUGUAAUACACAAAAUAUAUGCAUUUAUAGUUUUAAUUAAAAAAUCCAACCCAAGUUUAUGUCAUUUGCAUUAACCUUUUUUUGUUUGUUUGUUUCACCCAUGGCAUAUGGAAGUUCCUGGACCAGGGAUUGAAUCCGAACCACAGCUGUAACUUACACUUCAGUUGUGGCAAUGCCAGAUCCUUUAACCCACUGCUCUGGGCCAGGUAUCAAACCUGUGUCUCUGCAGCGCAGUGACCCAAGCCGCUGCAGUCGGAUUCUUAAUCCACUGUGUCAUAGCAGGAACUCCUGCAUUACUUUUUUUUAUUGACCCUCCCAAAUGACAGAAAUGAUUGGGUUCAUAUGCAAAAUAUAAAUUAUAGAAUACACGUAAUGAGAUAUCCACUGAAGAAUGACAAAUUAAAAAUAUAAAUUUCUCACAUUGUAAAAAUGAUGAUUCCACUAAUGAACUGUCUAAGAUAUUUGCAGAUUAUUCUAAGCUGACAGAAACCAUGAUAAAUCUUCAUUUCAUACAUGACAUUGAAUAAUUUGGAUCUGUUGUAUAGGAUCUUUUUUCGUAUCCCUCAGUUAUUGUUCAUAAGGUGGCUUUUUAGCUGAAGUUUGUGAUGUAAAACUAGCCAUUGUUCAAAUCAUUAUCUUUGACUUCCAUAUUAUAGAGUAGAAAUUUUAAAAUCUUUUGUAAUUCAUGUUUCUUGCUUUUCUACAGGUAACCAGCCAUUUGUGAAACUUGACAGUGUAUAAUUGUAUUACUUAGAACAAAUGUUUUGCAACCAACUUUAAAAGAUGUUACAUAUUUCAGUAUUUUUACAAUGUCUUCUUUAAAAUAUGUGAACAUAUUUGUCAGGUUCAGAUUAAUUAGGUAACAAUGAAACCUCAAAGCUGUUAUGAAGUGUAAAAUUUAUGAUUACUUUUGUAAAAGAAAAUGGAAAAGCACUUGAAAUAUAAUUUUACUGUUUCAUAUGUAUUUUGAAAAAUAAAGUGAUUAU
Molecule: long non-coding RNA, 6406 nt
Filed under: Sus scrofa (pig)
Lineage: Eukaryota; Metazoa; Chordata; Mammalia; Artiodactyla; Suidae
Description: lncRNA (ENSSSCG00000061804.1)
Source: RNAcentral